AACGAACGCUGGCGGCAGGCCUGAGGCAUGCAAGUCGAACGCGUGUAGCAAUACACGAGUGGCGCACGGGUGAGUAAUGUAUGGGAAUCUGCCUAGUAGUGGGGAAUAACGGUGGGAAACUGCCGCUAAUACCGCAUACGCCCGAAAGGGGAAAGAUUUAUCGCUAUUAGAUGAGCCCAUAUUGGAUUAGCUUGUUGGUGGGGUAAAGGCCUACCAAGGCAGUGAUCCAUAGCUGGUUUGAGAGAACGAUCAGCCACACUGGGACUGAGACACGGCCCAGACUCCUACGGGAGGCAGCAGCCAGGAAUAUUGGACAAUGGGCGAAAGCCUGAUCCAGCCAUGCCGCGUGAGUGAAGAAGGCUUUCGGGUUGUAAAGCUCUUUUGGUGGGGACGAUGAUGACGGUACCCACAGAAUAAGCACCGGCUAACUUCGUGCCAGCAGCCGCGGUGAUACGAAGGGUGCAAGCGUUGUUCGGUUUUACUGGGCGUAAAGCGUAUGUAGGCGGAAAGACAAGUCAGGCGUGAAAGCCCGGGGCUCAACUCCGGAAGUGCGCUUGAAACUAUCCUUCUUGAGGAUGACAGAGGACAAUGGAACUCCGAGUGUAGAGGUGGAAUUCGUAGAUAUUCGGAAGAACAUCAGUGGCGAAAGCGAUUGUCUGGGUCAUAUCUGACGCUGAGAUACGAAAGUGUGGGGAGCAAACAGGAUUAGAUACCCUGGUAGUCCACACCGUAAACUAUGGGCAUUAGCUGUUGGGGGCUUUCGAGCUCUCAGUGGCUGAGCUAACGCAUUAAAUGCCCCGCCUGGGGAGUACGGUCGCAAGAUUAAAACUUAAAGGAAUUGACGGGGACCCGCACAAGUAGUGGAGUAUGUUGUUUAAUUCGAUGAUACGCGAAAAACCUUACCACCCCUUGACAUACCGGUUGCGGCUUCCAGAAAUGGUCGCCUUCAUUCAGUUGGACCGGAUACAGAUGCUGCAUGGCUGUCGUCAGCUCGUGUCGUGAGAUGUUGGGUUAAGUCCCGCAACGAGCGCAACCCUCAUCAUUAGUUGCCAUCAUUCAGUUGGGAACUCUAAUGAAACUGCCGGUGAUAAGCUGGAGGAAGGCGGGGAUGAUGUCAAGUCAGCAUGGCUCUUACGAGGUGGGCUACAAACGUACUACAAUGACGCUUACAAAGGGCAGCGACGUCGCAAGGCGUAGCCAAUCCUAAAAAAGCGCCUCAGUUCAGAUUGUCGUCUGCAACUCGACGGCAUGAAGUCGGAAUUACUAGUAAUCGCAGAUCAGCAUGCUGCGGUGAAUGCGUUCUCGGGUC
Molecule: ribosomal RNA, 1309 nt
Filed under: uncultured Alphaproteobacteria bacterium
Lineage: Bacteria; Pseudomonadati; Pseudomonadota; Alphaproteobacteria
Description: bacterial SSU rRNA
Rfam family: Bacterial small subunit ribosomal RNA
Source: RNAcentral